RNAcentral lists this non-coding RNA (25 nucleotides) under Drosophila erecta. The record is from RNAcentral. Lineage: Eukaryota; Metazoa; Arthropoda; Insecta; Diptera; Drosophilidae. RNAcentral also lists the same sequence under 1 other name.
UAAGAGGCUGUCUUUGUCACUGUAA